Molecule: ribosomal RNA, 589 nt
Filed under: uncultured bacterium
Lineage: Bacteria
Description: partial 16S ribosomal RNA
Rfam family: Bacterial small subunit ribosomal RNA
Source: RNAcentral
UGGGGAAUUUUGGACAAUGGGGGGAAACCCUGAUCCAGCCAUCCCGCGUGUGCGAUGAAGGCCUUCGGGUUGUAAAGCACUUUUGGCAGGAAAGAAACGUCGCGGGUUAAUACCCCGCGAAACUGACGGUACCUGCAGAAUAAGCACCGGCUAACUACGUGCCAGCAGCCGCGGUAAUACGUAGGGUGCAAGCGUUAAUCGGAAUUACUGGGCGUAAAGCGUGCGCAGGCGGUUCGGAAAGAAAGAUGUGAAAUCCCAGAGCUUAACUUUGGAACUGCAUUUUUAACUACCGGGCUAGAGUGUGUCAGAGGGAGGUGGAAUUCCGCGUGUAGCAGUGAAAUGCGUAGAUAUGCGGAGGAACACCGAUGGCGAAGGCAGCCUCCUGGGAUAACACUGACGCUCAUGCACGAAAGCGUGGGGGAGCAAACAGGAUUAGAUACCCCUGGUAGUCCACGCCCUAAACGAUGUCAACUAGCUGUUGGGGCCUUCGGGCCUUGGUAGCGCAGCUAACGCGUGAAGUUGACCGCCUGGGGAGUACGGUCGCAAGNUUAAAACUUAAAGGAAUUGACGGGGGUCAUAGCUGUUUCCU